AACUUUCAAACAACGGAUCUCUUGGUUCUG
This 30-nucleotide ribosomal RNA is filed under the name uncultured fungus. Its description in RNAcentral is "partial 5.8S ribosomal RNA". The record is from RNAcentral. Lineage: Eukaryota; Fungi.